RNAcentral lists this ribosomal RNA (206 nucleotides) under uncultured bacterium. RNAcentral's name for it is "partial 16S ribosomal RNA". It matches the Rfam family "Bacterial small subunit ribosomal RNA", at positions 568 to 774 of the family's 1533-position model. The record is from RNAcentral.
UGCGCAGGCGGUGCUGUAAGACAGGCGUGAAAUCCCCGGGCUCAACCUGGGAAUGGCGCUUGUGACUGCAGUGCUGGAGUGCGGCAGAGGGGGAUGGAAUUCCGCGUGUAGCAGUGAAAUGCGUAGAUAUGCGGAGGAACACCGAUGGCGAAGGCAAUCCCCUGGGCCUGCACUGACGCUCAUGCACGAAAGCGUGGGAGCAAACA